Molecule: long non-coding RNA, 1506 nt
Organism: Pectinophora gossypiella (pink bollworm)
Lineage: Eukaryota; Metazoa; Arthropoda; Insecta; Lepidoptera; Gelechiidae
Exons: 4
Source: RefSeq, a predicted model, not a curated record
UGUUGUUGUUUAAAUUCGCCUUAUAUAAGGCAGGCAAAGAUCUCAGGACCAUACAGCCUUGACUUUAGUAAUUUAAUAUUCGAAAAUCACGAUCAAAAUAGGCCUAAGCCUUGUCUUCAAUUUUCAAUAUCCAAUUUAGGCCAGUGCCUUGUCUUCAGUUUUCAAUCUCUCUCAUUUAAUAUUCUUAUUAGGCCAAAGCCUUGUCUUCAGUUUCCAAUAUCCAAUUUAGGCCAGUGCCUUGUCUUCAGUUUUCAAUCUCUCUCAUUUAAUAUUCUUAAUAGGCCAAAGCCUUGUCUUCAGUUUUUAAUCUCUUUCAUUUAAAAUCCAUAUUAGGCCUAAGCCUUGUCUUCUGUAUCCAAAAUCUUGAAAGUAAAAUCCAGUUUAGGCCUAAGCCUCGUCUUUAUCCAUGAUCUUGUCACAUCCAAUAAUAAGAAGUUCCAUUCCAGUAAAGUAUUAUCCGGUAAAGGUUAUACCAACCAAUUAAGCAUAACACAAGAAAGCAUACUCAAAGUGGCUUCUCACCAGAGACUUAUAAAGCAUCAGUAAUAUCUUUGGAUCAGCACCCCAGCUUGUACCAGCCAAGGCUUUUAAGGAAAAUUCAGGAAUCUCAGCUCCUGUGCAAGAAUGUGAUGGUUAACAUUGUUAAAUGCUCCAACAAUGUCUACAAAAAUAGCCACAAGUACUUGAUGAUUACGAAUAGAAUUAAAAAUAUCAAGAUGAAGAUGUGCUAUACUCUCCCUGGCUGACUUCCCACGUCGAAACCCGAACUGGUUUGAAGGAAAAUGAUAACUACCCAACGCAUCGUCAUGAACACCCCACUCGCAGGCAGCAGCCAGGGAGGGGGAAACCAGAGUCAGAUCAAGAGCAUUUUGCCGCCAUGUGUUAGAUCCUACAGUAGUUAAUCUGCCAUCAUUUAGCAGUACUAAAUUAUUAUCAUCUAUACAUUUAAGAAGAACAUCACCUCUGUUAUCAACAGAAGAACAACCCCAAACAGAAUGGUGCGCAUUAAAAUCACCAGCAAUAAAUACUGGUUCUGGAAGACUGUUAAAAAGAGCAUUGAGUGAAGUUUUUGUGAAAUUUGGAGAAUUAGGAGGACUGUAAUAACUAAGAAAAGUAAUUUGUUUAGAGCCAAAAUAUAAACGUAAUGCUAUAUUUUGAUUAGAAUCAUCAUAUGUAGUACUUAUAUGCUGAUAAUGUAGCUGAUUGUUAAUAAGUAUAGCAACACCAUUGUGAUUAUUGCCUGAAUCCAAUCUAAUUAUGUUAUAACCAUUUAUUUUAAAACAUUGUGUAGCUUUUAACCAAGUUUCACUGAUAAGAGCAAUAUGGAUAUUAUUGUCAUAUAAAAACUGUGUAAAGUGAAAUUUGUUACUAUUUAAACUCUGAGCAUUCCAUUGUACUAUUCGCAACUGAUCCAUGAAAACAAAAAAAAAAGGAAAAAGUUGUAAUGAAUUACUUUUUAUGGAUAGUAUCCAUUAAGACAGUUUUAAUAAAUUCAGAGGAGAUAGA